RNAcentral lists this ribosomal RNA (404 nucleotides) under Fusobacteriota bacterium. RNAcentral describes it as "Fusobacteria bacterium partial 16S ribosomal RNA". It matches the Rfam family "Bacterial small subunit ribosomal RNA", at positions 355 to 776 of the family's 1533-position model. The record is from RNAcentral. Lineage: Bacteria; Fusobacteriati; Fusobacteriota.
UGGGGAAUAUUGCACAAUGGAGGGAACUCUGAUGCAGCGACGCCGCGUGAGUGAUGAAGGAAUUCGUUUCGUAAAACUCUGUUCUAUGGGAAGAAAAGGACUGUACCAUAGGAGAAAGCUCCGGCUAAAUACGUGCCAGCAGCCGCGGUAAUACGUAUGGAGCGAGCGUUGUCCGGAAUUAUUGGGCGUAAAGGGUGCGCAGGCGGCUUUACAAGUUGGAUGUGAAAUAUUGUGGCUCAACCACAAACGUGCAUCCAAAACUGCAAAGCUUGAGUUAAGGAGAGGUAAGUGGAAUUCCUGGUGUAGCGGUGGAAUGCGUAGAUAUCAGGAGGAAUACCGGCGGCGAAGGCGACUUACUGGACUUAAACUGACGCUAAGGCACGAAAGCGUGGGGAGCAAACAGG